This 500-nucleotide ribosomal RNA is filed under the name uncultured bacterium. RNAcentral describes it as "partial 16S ribosomal RNA". It matches the Rfam family "Bacterial small subunit ribosomal RNA", at positions 30 to 523 of the family's 1533-position model. The record is from RNAcentral.
AUUGAACGCUGGCGGCAUGCUUUACACAUGCAAGUCGAACGGUAACAGGGUGCUUGCACCGCUGACGAGUGGCGAACGGGUGAGUAAUGCGUCGGAACGUGCCGAGUAGUGGGGGAUAACGCAGCGAAAGUUGUGCUAAUACCGCAUACGUACUGAGGUAGAAAGUGGGGGACCUUCGGGCCUCACGCUAUUCGAGCGGCCGACGUCUGAUUAGCUAGUGGGUGAGGUAAAGGCUCACCUAGGCGACGAUCAGUAGCGGGUCUGAGAGGAUGAUCCGCCACACUGGGACUGAGACACGGCCCAGAAUCCUACGGGAGGCAGGAGUGGGGAAUUUUGGACAAUGGGCGAAAGCCUGAUCCAGCCAUGCCGCGGGUCUGAAGAAGGCCUUCGGGUUGUAAAGGACUUUUGUCAGGGAGGAAAUCCCUAGUGCUAAUAACACUGGGGGAUGACAGUACCUGAAGAAUAAGCACCGGCUAACUACGUGCCAGCCGCCGCCGUAA